Molecule: transfer RNA, 69 nt
Filed under: Araneus ventricosus
Lineage: Eukaryota; Metazoa; Arthropoda; Arachnida; Araneae; Araneidae
Description: tRNA-Thr
Source: RNAcentral
AGCCACCAGCGAGAUUGAACUGCGACCCUGGUUUACGAGACCAGUGCUCUAACCUCUGAGCUAUGGGGC